GAUGAAGAACGUAGCGAAAUGCGAUACGUAAUGUGAAUUGCAGAAUUCAGUGAAUCAUCGAAUCUUUGAACGCAUAUUGCGCUCUCUGGUAUUCCGGAGAGCAUGCUUGUUUGAGUAUCAGUAAACACCUCAACUUCCAUAUCUUUUUUGAAAUGGGAGUUGGACUUGAGUGAUCCCAACGCUUUUCCUCACCGAAAAGUGGCGGGUUACUUGAAAUGCAGGUGCAGCUGGACUUUUCUCUGAGCUAUAAGCAUAUCUAUUUAGUCUGCCUAAAAAACAGAUUAUUACCUUUGCUGCAGCUAACAUAAAGGAGAUUAGUUCUUGUGCUGACUGAUGCAGGAUUCACAAAGACAGGCUUCGGCCGACUUUGUAAACUCGAUCUCAAAUCAAGUAAGACUACCCGCUGAACUUAAGCAUAUCGAUAAGCGGAGGA
RNAcentral lists this unclassified non-coding RNA (433 nucleotides) under soil metagenome. RNAcentral's name for it is "partial contains 5.8S ribosomal RNA, internal transcribed spacer 2, and large subunit ribosomal RNA". The stretch from base 1 to 120 matches the Rfam family "5.8S ribosomal RNA", at positions 35 to 154 of the family's 154-position model. The record is from RNAcentral.